AGACUGGAUAUUGUGCCUUUGAGUGGCUAUAUCACAGAUGUCAGGUUCGCCUGACUAUGAUCGUAGAGGCAGAGUGGAAUAGGCGUUUAGGACGCGGGUUCGAUUCCCGCCGCCUCCACCACAAGCACACCGGCCGUCCAGGUACCGCAAGACGGGUUUUGGGCGGAAUGGCCUUUCGUUGAGGCCAUGCCGCUGCCCCGGUGUGUUUGUGAUGGGGGCGACAUGGGUUCGACUGGGCGCAAUAAAGGCUAGGCUGCGAUUAGGCUGAGCUACGGCCUUGAUAGUGCAAAACUCAUAAAUGCCAACGAUAACGUUGACAUGGGUGCAGUGCGCCUCGCGGCGUAACCAUCCGGGGCUCGGGAAAGCCUAGCAACAGAAACGGCACCUU
This is a non-coding RNA of Microvirga aerilata, 388 nucleotides long. Lineage: Bacteria; Pseudomonadati; Pseudomonadota; Alphaproteobacteria; Hyphomicrobiales; Methylobacteriaceae. The record is from Rfam.